UGAAAAAAAAUAUAAAGUCUAGUCUGCUCAAUGAAUAAAAAUUUAAAUAGCUGCAGUAUUUUGACUGUACAAAGGUAGCAUAAUAAUUAGUUUUUUAAUUGAAAGCUGGAAUGAAGGAUUGGACGAGAAAAUUACUGUCUCAGUAUUAAAAAUUGAAUUUAACUUUUUAGUUAAAAGGCUAAAAUAUUUUUAAAAGACGAGAAGACCCUAUAGAGUUUUAUAAUAUUUGGUUGGGGUGAUUAAAAAAUUUAAAAAACUUUUUUAUUUUAUUAAUUAUUUAUUUGUAAAUUUAUUUUCUAUAGAUUUUAAAAUUAAAAUAAAUUACCUUAGGGAUAACAGCGUAAUAUAUUUUUAAAGUUCUUAUUUAAAAAUUUGUUUGCGACCUCGAUGUUGGAUUAAAAUUUAUUAUUGGUGCAGGAGCUGAAUAAUUGAGUCUGUUC
This 440-nucleotide ribosomal RNA is filed under the name Cantharis rustica. RNAcentral's name for it is "partial 16S ribosomal RNA". It matches the Rfam family "Archaeal large subunit ribosomal RNA", at positions 1924 to 2651 of the family's 2987-position model. Lineage: Eukaryota; Metazoa; Arthropoda; Insecta; Coleoptera; Cantharidae. The record is from RNAcentral.